UACGUAGGGUGCAAGCGUUGUCCGGAAUUAUUGGGCGUAAAGAGCUCGUAGGCGGUCUGUUGCGUCGGCUGUGAAAACCCGGGGCUCAACCCCGGGCCUGCAGCCGAUACGGGCAGACUAGAGUUCGGCAGGGGAGACUGGAAUUCCUGGUGUAGCGGUGAAAUGCGCAGAUAUCAGGAGGAACACCAAUGGCGAAGGCAGAUCUCUGGGCCGUAACUGACGCUGAGGAGCGAAAGCAUGGGGAGCGAACAGG
RNAcentral lists this ribosomal RNA (253 nucleotides) under uncultured bacterium. RNAcentral's name for it is "partial 16S ribosomal RNA". It matches the Rfam family "Bacterial small subunit ribosomal RNA", at positions 524 to 776 of the family's 1533-position model. The record is from RNAcentral.